GAAAAAGAACCUGAAACCGUGUACGUACAAGCAGUGGGAGCACAGAGCAAUCUGUGUGACUGCGUACCUUUUGUAUAAUGGGUCAGCGACUUAUAUUCUGUAGCAAGGUUAACCGAAUAGGGGAGCCGAAGGGAAACCGAGUCUUAACUGGGCGUUAAGUUGCAGGGUAUAGACCCGAAACCCGGUGAUCUAGCCAUGGGCAGGUUGAAGGUUGGGUAACACUAACUGGAGGACCGAACCGACUAAUGUUGAAAAAUUAGCGGAUGACUUGUGGCUGGGGGUGAAAGGCCAAUCAAACCGGGAGAUAGCUGGUUCUCCCCGAAAGCUAUUUAGGUAGCGCCUCGUGAAUUCAUCUCCGGGGGUAGAGCACUGUUUCGGCAAGGGGGUCAUCCCGACUUACCAACCCGAUGCAAACUGCGAAUACCGGAGAAUGUUAUCACGGGAGACACACGGCGGGUGCUAACGUCCGUCGUGAAGAGGGAAACAACCCAGACCGCCAGCUAAGGUCCCAAAGUCAUGGUUAAGUGGGAAACGAUGUGGGAAGGCCCAGACAGCCAGGAUGUUGGCUUAGAAGCAGCCAUCAUUUAAAGAAAGCGUAAUAGCUCACUGGUCGAGUCGGCCUGCGCGGAAGAUGUAACGGGGCUAAACCAUG
Molecule: ribosomal RNA, 652 nt
Filed under: Escherichia coli
Lineage: Bacteria; Pseudomonadati; Pseudomonadota; Gammaproteobacteria; Enterobacterales; Enterobacteriaceae
Description: partial 23S ribosomal RNA
Rfam family: Bacterial large subunit ribosomal RNA
Source: RNAcentral